Molecule: RNA transcript, 2617 nt
Organism: Drosophila ficusphila
Lineage: Eukaryota; Metazoa; Arthropoda; Insecta; Diptera; Drosophilidae
Gene: MICU3
Gene name: calcium uptake protein 3, mitochondrial
Exons: 11
Source: RefSeq, a predicted model, not a curated record
CACGUCUUUCUAUUUGUCACUAGUUUAGUUUUUUCCUCCGGAAAACUCGGACGCGAUGGCGAGUGCAGUGGCUAGAUUAACGGUUAAAAGUGGCUCUAUAAUCGCACAGCGGUCGAGUGGUGGCGUAUCUAUUAGCAGAUCACUCAGAUUUGCCAGUGGUUCGUCGGAAUCCAUCGGAAUUCGGGGCCCCAAAACCCGUCGGCUGUUGACUUUUGUAGGCGGCAGUGCUAUUUCUUUGGCCGCCCUAGCGGCUUUCAUUAAACUCCGAUCCGCUGAAAAUCCCGUGAAUGCAGUUAGCCUUAAAAGGCGCAUGCGCGACGAUAGCGAGCUGGAAAAUGUGAAGCUAACGGCCCGGGAGCGCCGCUUCAUCAAGUUUGCAUCCGUGGAGUUCGACGAUCAGCUGUACAUGACCCCGCAGGACUUUCUAGACUCUGUUGUCGAGCAGGAACCCAGACCUCGUUUAAAACGACGUCAGCUAUCCAGCGAUGAGGUGGACAAGUACAAGGAAAACACUCCUGCUCUGAAGAAGGGUUCAACACGAUUAUUUCGCAAUCUAAGGGAUAAAGGCAUUGUAUCCUAUACGGAGUAUUUGUUUCUGCUCUCUAUUUUAACAAAGCCCAAAUCUGGAUUCCGCAUUGCCUUUAAUAUGUUCGACACGGAUGGAAAUCAACGAGUGGACAAGGACGAAUUCCUCGUGAUAAUUUCCAUUUUGGCCGGCGCUUUAAAAGACACUCAAAAUGUCGAUCCACAAACCAAGCAAAUUCUCUCGCGUUUAGUUUCCUACGAUGAGCAAACUCAAAUGAUGAAACCCAUGGCAGUGCCUAAAACAAACAGGGGUCUAAUGGAGCGCAUUUUCAGCGGCGCUUGGAAGGAGAAGCACGGCGAACAAGAGCCGGAAGAUGAGCUCGCAUCCUCCACGCCCACUCCCCUGGAGCAGGGCUAUGUCAACGAUGGCGAGGGACUGCAACGUCGUCAUGUGGUGCCGACCACCCUACAGCUUCACUUUUUCGGAAAGCGUGGCACUGGGGUUAUCAACUACGAUAACUUUUACCGCUUCAUGGACAACCUGCAGACGGAGGUGCUCGAACUGGAGUUCCACGAGUUCUCCAAGGGCAACAGCGUCAUCAGCGAACUGGACUUUGCCAAGAUCCUGCUGCGAUACACGUAUCUGGCCACGGAUGAGUACGAUGUCUUCCUGGAACGCCUGCUCGAGCGGGUUAAAGAUGAGAAGGGCAUAUCGUUCCAUGAUUUCCGGGACUUUUGCCAUUUCCUGAACAACCUGGAUGACUUCACAAUCGCCAUGCGCAUGUACACUCUGGCCGAUAGGGCUAUAUCGAAGGAUGAAUUCUCGCGUGCUGUCAAGAUCUGCACCGGCUACAAGCUGAGUCCCCACUUGAUCGACACCGUUUUUGCCAUCUUCGAUGCGGAUGGCGAUGGCCUGCUGUCCUACAAGGAAUUCAUCGCCAUCAUGAAGGAUCGCCUGCAUCGCGGCUUCAAAGUAAGUGGUCGUUUCUUUGAUUACAACGAAGCUCUGGACGCCUAUGAUGAACCGGCGUAUCCCAUAUUUGUGGCCUGGCGACAUCGGGUGUGCCGGCACCUGGAUUACUUCAUCGACAGUGAUGCGCUUUGGCACUGAUUUUAAAGUUUAAUUUAUGUAUUGUCACGUUUUGUUUGCCGCUUUUGUCCUAAUAUUGCUGAUCAGCAUUGAAUGUGUGUGUUUUUUUAGUUUUCGUCCUCUAUGUAAGCGUCUUAUGCUUUGAGCUAAAUGUUUUACCUCAUUUACUUAUAGUUUAGCUUUUAAGACUUUAACCCAACUCAAUGCCAUUUAUUUUUACUUAUUAUUAUAUUUAGUUUUAUUUUUAUUUUAAAUUGGCCAUAUAACCAUUAAACACUGAUUAUUACGCAGAAAUGGUUUUUUAUUUGUAUGUCAUUUGUUUGUCCUCGAAAACAUUCUGGAAAUGCACAGGACACUCGUUUGCACUGUUUAAAUUUAUUUUAAGUACCCAUAAAUUGUUGAUUAUUUUUAAAACCACUCAUUAUCAUUUCCGUUUCCAUCAAAUUGAUUGUCGGAGCACCGUAAUUUGUGACUCACUUCACGUCUAGCAAUGAACUGUGCAGCGAUUAAGUUGCCAGGCGAAAAGUCCAAGCUCCAGCUGAUUAGCAAUGAGUUGUAUUUUCUUUCCCUAGCUUGAUGUUGUAGACCCAGAAGAGCGUCUACGGGUCUCCGUUGAGGUAGUCGCGCCAAAAGAUGGAGAGUCCGUGGCCAAAUCGGAGGGCUGGGACGCCUUUAAAUACUGUGUGCGCAACGAGAUGAAAACCAUGAUGAAGUCGGCCAACUAAAAAGGAUUACCUUGAUAUUGCAUAAACAACGAGCAAGCAACGCCAAAGUGAAACAAAUUCUAGUUACAAAAUCUUUCUUCUAAAGAACCAAAAUCUCGUGUAUAGUCAUAGGGUUUAUAUUUGUUGAUCCCUUGAACUAUUUAUGAAUUUGUUAUUGAACUAAGCUCCCUUCUCUUAUAGCCAAAAUUCUGAGAAACUGUUUUAAAUCGGCAGUUUAGUGCCACCUUGUUAUACAUGUAUAGCGAAAUAAAAAUCGUUUUGUAAAAUUUGUAUUACA